Molecule: ribosomal RNA, 3068 nt
Filed under: Burkholderia mallei 2002721280
Lineage: Bacteria; Pseudomonadati; Pseudomonadota; Betaproteobacteria; Burkholderiales; Burkholderiaceae
Description: 23S ribosomal RNA
Source: RNAcentral
GCUCGCGCCGGGCGAGCAGGCCGGCACGUGGAAGGCGGCCGAGCCGGCCGACGCCGCGCAUCGCGGCGAAUGGUGGCGCGUAUUCGGCGAUCCGGUGCUCGAUGCGCUCGAAACGCAGGCGCUUGCCGCGAACCAGAACCUGAAGGCCGCGGCGGCGCGCGUCGAGCAGGCGCGCGCGGCGACCCGCGCCGCGCGCUCGCAGUGGUUCCCGCAAGUGGGCGUGGGCUUCGGGCCGACGCGCGAGGGGCUGUCGUCGGCGUCGCAGUUCCAGCCGCAGGGCAGCGGCCCGACGAACGCGACGCUCUGGCGCGCGCAGGGCACGGUGUCGUACGAAGCGGACCUGUUCGGCCGCGUCGGCCGCAACGUCGAAGCGUCGCGCGCGGACGAAGCGCAGAGCCAGGCGCUGUUCCGCUCGGUGCAGCUCGCGUUGCAGGCGGACGUCGCGCAGAACUACUUCGAGCUGCGCCGGCUCGAUUCCGACCAGGAUCUGUACCGGCGCACGGUCGGGCUGCGCGAGGAGGCGCUCAAGCUCGUGCAGCGGCGCUUUGCCGAAGGCGACAUCAGCGAGCUCGACGUGUCGCGCGCGAAGAACGAACUGGCGACCGCGCAGGCGGACGCGGUGGGCGUCGCGCGGCGGCGCGCCGCAUCGGAGCAUGCGCUCGCGAUCCUGCUCGGCAAGGCGCCCGCGGAUUUCUCGUUCAGCGAGACGCCGAUCGCGCCGGUGGCGGUGCGCGUGCCGGCGGGGCUGCCGUCGGCAUUGCUCGAGAGGCGGCCCGACAUCGCGGCGGCCGAGCGCGCGAUGAUGGCCGCGAACGCGCGCAUCGGCCUCGCGAAGUCCGCGUACUUCCCGAAGCUCGACAUCACCGGCGCGUUCGGCUAUGAGGCGGCGACGCUCGGCAACCUGUUCCUGUGGUCGAGCCGCACGUUCCUGCUCGGGCCGUUCGCGGGCACGGCGCUCACGCUGCCGAUCUUCGACGGCGGGCGCCGCAGCGCGGGCGUCGCGCAGGCGCGCGCGAAGUAUGACGAGGAAGUCGCGAACUACCGGCAGCAGGUGCUCGUCGCGUUCCGCGAAGUGGAGGACAACCUUGCCGAUCUGCGUCUGCUCGACGAUCAGAUCCGCGCGCAAAGCGACGCCGUCAACGCGUCGCGGCGCGCGGCGAAGCUGUCGCGCACGCAGUAUCAGGAAGGCGCGGUCAGCUAUCUCGACGUGAUCGACAGCGAGCGCUCGGUGCUCGAAUCGCAACUGCAAUCGAACCAGUUGACGGGCACGCAGGCGGUAUCGACGGUCAACCUGAUUCGCGCGCUCGGCGGCGGCUGGGGGAGCGAUGCGGCGCUCGGCUCGCGCGAGCCGGGCAAGCAGGACGUCGCGGCGCGUUGAACAUGCGGCGGCGGCCCGUUUCGGCGGGCUGCCGCCGCAUUCGCCGCGCCGAUGCCUGCCGGCGCGCAUGGCCGACGAAAUGCGAAUGUCGGGCGGGGCGCACGCGGGCAGGCCGAGACGAGGGGCGCGAGGCGGCGCGCGGACGGAAUCGAUCGCGCGAGCGCCGGGACGUUCAAGAACCUGAGAGAGGCGGGGCCGGAGAAGCGGCGCCUGAGAACCUGAUGGCCCGAGGACCCGAGAGCCUGAGAACCCGAGAACCCGAGAACCCGAGAACCCGAGAACCCGAGAACCCGAGAGCCCGAGAGCCUGAGAGCCGCGCGAACGCGACGGGCGCACGCAUACGCGCCCGUCGCGUGACGGGCGGCAUCGACGAUGAAGCAUGGAAUGGCGCGACCGCCGCUUCGCGUCGGCGGCACACCGCCUGCGAUGCGCGCCGAAUCGGGCCGGCGUGCAUGCUGCAGCGCGAAUUCUGUUUCGUGCGCAGCGGUCUCGACUGACACUUGGCAGCGGCGCAUGGGACGGAACAUUGCCGUUUCGCUGCGCCGCUGGUCCGACAAUAAAAAGCGCAGUCCCAGCGUGGGGCGACAGGGACUGCUUAACCGCCUGCAUCCGAGGGCCAGAAAAUACUCGCAGACGGAACUACAAUCGCGCGGGUGUCAUGCGGGGCGGCAUGCCCUGUGUGCGCCUGCACGCGCGGCGUGCCGCACCCACCGAACCGCCGAGCAUCACGCUCGCAAAAAUCUUCCUGCAAAAACCGCUUCGCAUCGGCCGGCGCGCCGGAGCGGCCGGCGGGCAUUCCGCCCGCGCCUGCUCGCCGCGCCGGUUUCAAUUCCCGGAUUCGCUCGCCGGUUUCAAUCCCGUUGUGCGCGCCGACAACGCCGGCGCACAUGUUCAACCGCGCGAGCAACCGCGCGGCGUCACGCGCGCGAUGCGUGCGCCGUCGUCGCCUGCGCGAUCUCCGGCGCGGCGCCGGACACGCGGCUCGCGAGCGUCGUCGCGACGGUGCUCGCAUAGACGUUCAGCGCGGUGCGGCCCAUGUCGAAGAACGCGUCGACGCCCAGAAUCAGCAGCACCGCAUCGGCGGGCAAUCCGAUCGCGGCGAGGAUCACCGUGAUCGCGACCACCGCGCCCGAAGGCACGUUGGCCGCGCCGUCGAUCGUGAUGAUCGUCAGGACCGCGAUGGUGAUCAUCAGCGGCCAGCUCCAUGCGAGCUGAUACGCAUCGGCGAGAUAGCAGACCGCGAGCACCGUGUAGAGCACCGCGCCUUCGCGAUUGAAAAUGUACGACAGCGGCAGCACGUUCGACGCGACCGAGGAGGGCACGCCCAUUUCCGUGAGCUUCUUCAGAUGCACGGGGAACGUGAUUUCGGACGAGCGCGUCGUGAAGCCGAGGAUCAGCGGCUCGCUCACCUUGCGCACGACCGCGCGCGGCGAAUGGCCGGCGAGCUUGACGAUCAGCGUGAGCCACGCGGCGAGCAGCGCCAUGCCGAGGUACGCGAUGCCGAGCAGCUUCGCGAGCGGCGCCAUCGCGGCGAGCCCCUUCGACGACAGCAGCACCGCGAUCGCGGCGAAGAUCGCGAUCGGAGACAGCGACACGACCCACUCGGUCAUCUUGAAGAACGCGGCGAGCAUCGAUUCGCAGACGGCGACGAACGGCGCCGCGCGGUCCUCGACCGCGGCGAGCGCGCAGC